This 567-nucleotide small RNA is filed under the name Flock House virus. RNAcentral describes it as "partial defective interfering RNA R2DI-567". Lineage: Riboviria; Orthornavirae; Kitrinoviricota; Magsaviricetes; Nodamuvirales; Nodaviridae. The record is from RNAcentral.
GUAAACAAUUCCAAGUUCCAAAAUGGUUAAUAACAACAGACCAAGACGUCAACGAGCUUAACGCGUUGUCGUCACAACAACCCAAACAGCGCCUAAAUGUGCAUUUGCACCACGCUUCCAUGAACGUGGGUAUUUACCCAACGUCGAACUUGAUGCAGUUUACCGGAAGCAUAACUGUUUGGAAAUGCCCUGUAAAGCUGAGUACUGUGCAAUUCCCGGUUGCAACAGAUCCAGCCACCAGUUCGCUAGUUCAUACUCUUGUUGGUUUAGAUGGUGUUCUAGCGGUGGGGCCUGACAACUUCUCUGAGUCAUUCAGCCCUUUUUGAAGGAUUUGGCUUUUAGAAGCAUCCGGACGCCAACCUAACCGGGCAAGUAUCCGAACAAUCGGACAUUUGGCCACAAUAAGCCCAAUUUGGUUGAAGAUUAAAGUAGUGAGCCCCCUUAGCGCGAAACAAAACGUGCCACAUAAUGGUAGACGCCGACGUAAUCGCACGAGGCGUAAUCGGAAUUUAUAGACGCCGACGUAAUCGCACGAGGCGUAAUCAGUUUAAGUCAACAGACUAAGGU